Molecule: long non-coding RNA, 1064 nt
Organism: Puntigrus tetrazona (Sumatra barb)
Lineage: Eukaryota; Metazoa; Chordata; Actinopteri; Cypriniformes; Cyprinidae
Exons: 3
Source: RefSeq, a predicted model, not a curated record
AAAAAAUUCUGCAGACUAAACCUGGUGGGGAUGGAAUCAUCAGAGAGUACAACAAAACCAAAUGCUUAUCUGACAGCAACAGGAGAAAGAUGGUCAAUAUUCUUACUGCAGAUAUGACUGAAAAGCACAGCUCAUCUCCACCCAAACAAGAGAACUGUAUGCUCAAGGAAUCAUUGCCCUGUUUCCAUAUCUUAGGGAUCCAUAUGCAAAGCUUGGUUAUGAACAUUAUUAUGACCCUCAAAGUGGACAAGGGUACUUGUCAUGGAAAAUAAAGAACAUUCAGAGGAACAGUGCACCAUCAGAGAUCCGUAGAUGUGUCCCCCAGUCUUUUGGUGGCCCAUCUGCGCAGAGAGAAGCUUCAUUCAGCACAGAAGUUAUCCUGACCGAAGAACAGUAUAGGGAAGCUGUUUCUCUUAUGAAGCAUACUUCAGAGGAGGUGACAGUAAAGGUCAAGAUGAGGGAGACAUUUCAGUAUCGUCGCAAGAUGGUUCAUGACCCAAGCAGAUGCACUGAUGUGCUAACUGAAUUUCCACGUUAUUUGGAUAUUAAAGGCCUGGUAAGAACAUUUGAGUUAUUAAUGUGAUUUAGAUUAUUUUUCUGUGAAUUAAGGACAAUAGAGAAUAUCUGUGGUGAUUUAAAGUUAUAUUGAUUAUGCAUUGUAAAGAUAAUAAAUUUGCCCUUAGUUGCUUUUUUUUCUGCUUUGUUGGGUUUUACAGAUUGAGCUGGACAUUGAUUUGCCAGUGUUUUUUAAAAUCAAAGAUAUUGUUGUUAAAAAUGAAUUUGUGGUACUGGUUGCAUCACCACUCAAAACUGUUUGCUUUGAUGAUCAUCGUUAUGCCUACAGAAUUGAACCAAGACACUGUGAAUCCUUGAAAGUGUUCAAUGUCACUGAACUAAUUUAUUACAAACCUUUUGAUAUGCAAAUGUCUUAUGGGUCUGAUAAUUUCUUUUGGUUUGUUGUACCUUACUGCAGUCUUGUUACUACUUAGCUGUCAAUGCAGGUCUUAUUUCAAAAUGUUUUUAUUUUAUCAUUUUGACAAGUCGGAACUGUAUACAUGUUUUAA